CACCAACAUGCAUGUUCCCAGAGCCUC
RNAcentral lists this non-coding RNA (27 nucleotides) under Mus musculus (house mouse). Lineage: Eukaryota; Metazoa; Chordata; Mammalia; Rodentia; Muridae. The record is from RNAcentral.